RNAcentral lists this RNase P RNA (392 nucleotides) under Allobosea sp. LC85. RNAcentral describes it as "Bosea sp. LC85 Bacterial RNase P class A". It matches the Rfam family "Bacterial RNase P class A". Rfam says of the family: Ribonuclease P (RNase P) is a ubiquitous endoribonuclease, found in archaea, bacteria and eukarya as well as chloroplasts and mitochondria. Its best characterised activity is the generation of mature 5'-ends of tRNAs by cleaving the 5'-leader elements of precursor-tRNAs. Lineage: Bacteria; Pseudomonadati; Pseudomonadota; Alphaproteobacteria; Hyphomicrobiales; Alloboseaceae. The record is from Rfam by way of RNAcentral.
CCAGUCGGCCGGACGGCCGCUCCCGUUCGCGGGGGAGGAAAGUCCGGGCUCCACGGAAACACGGUGCCGGAUAACGUCCGGCGGGGGCGACCCCAGGGAAAGCGCCACAGAGAUCGAACCGCCUCGCGCUUCGGCGCGGGGUAAGGGUGAAAAGGUGCGGUAAGAGCGCACCGCGGACCCGGCAACGGGGACGGCAUGGCAAGCCCCACCGGGAGCAAAACCGAAUAGGGACGAUGCCUCUCCCGCAAGGGCGAGGGGGCCGGUUUCCAGGCCUGGUCGUCCGGGUUGGUUGCUCGAGGCGCACAGCAAUGUGCGUCCCAGAGGAAUGGCCGUCACGUCGGCGUAGCAAUGCGCCGGCCAUCCAGAACCCGGCUUACAGGCCGGCUGGCACC